This 872-nucleotide ribosomal RNA is filed under the name uncultured bacterium. Its description in RNAcentral is "bacterial SSU rRNA". It matches the Rfam family "Bacterial small subunit ribosomal RNA", at positions 11 to 890 of the family's 1533-position model. The record is from RNAcentral.
GUUUGAUCCUGGCUCAGGAUAAACGCUGGCGGCGUGCAUAACACAUGCAAGUCGAACGAUGAAACUUAGAUGAUUUCUUCGGAAUGAACUUAAGUGGAUUAGUGGCGAACGGGUGAGUAACACGUGAGUAACCUGCCUUACACAAGGGGAUAGCCUCUGGAAACGGAGAAUAAUACCCUAUAAAGUCUAAUCAGCACAUGCUGGAAAGACCAAAGAUUUAUCGGUGUAAGAUGGACUUGCGUCUGAUUAGCUAGUUGGUGAGAUAAAAGCUCACCAAGGCGACGAUCAGUAGCCGGCUUGAGAGAGUGUACGGCCACAUUGGGACUGAGACACGGCCCAAACUCCUACGGGAGGCAGCAGUGGGGAAUUUUGCACAAUGGGGGAAACCCUGAUGCAGCGACGCCGCGUGAUUUAGAAGGCCUUCGGGUUGUAAAAAUCUUUUUUACGGGAUGAAAAUGACAGUACCGUAAGAAUAAGGUCCGGCUAAAUACGUGCCAGCAGCCGCGGUAAUACGUAUGGACCGAGCGUUGUCCGGAAUCAUUGGGCGUAAAGGGUACGUAGGCGGCCUAAUAAGUUAGAAGUGAAAGAAUAUAGCUCAACUAUAUAAAGCUUUUAAAACUGUUAGGCUUGAGAGAUGAAAGGGAAAGUGGAAUUCCUAGUGUAGCGGUGAAAUGCGCAGAUAUUAGGAAGAAUACCGGUGGCGAAAGGCGACUUUCUGGUCAUCAUCUGACGCUGAGGUACGAAAGCGUGGGUAGCAAACAGGAUUAGAUACCCUGGUAGUCCACGCNGUAAACGAUGAGUGUUAGGUUCUUGGAAUAAUCUGGGAGCCGCAGCUAACGCAUUAAACACUCCGCCUGGGGAGUACGCACGCA